GCAGCGCGGGGCAACCUGGCGGCGAGUGGCGAACGGGUGAGUAAUAUAUCGGAACGUACCCAAGAGUGGGGGAUAACGCAGCGAAAGUUGUGCUAAUACCGCAUACGAUCUAAGGAUGAAAGCAGGGGACCGCAAGGCCUUGUGCUCCUGGAGCGGCCGAUAUCUGAUUAGCUAGUUGGUGAGGUAAAGGCUCACCAAGGCGACGAUCAGUAGCUGGUCUGAGAGGACGACCAGCCACACUGGAACUGAGACACGGUCCAGACUCCUACGGGAGGCAGCAGUGGGGAAUUUUGGACAAUGGUCGCAAGCCUGAUCCAGCAAUGCCGCGUGAGUGAAGAAGGCCUUCGGGUUGUAAAGCUCUUUUGUCAGGGAAGAAACGACUGUGGCUAAUAUCCACGGCUAAUGACGGUACCUGAAGAAUAAGCACCGGCUAACUACGUGCCAGCAGCCGCGGUAAUACGUAGGGUGCAAGCGUUAAUCGGAAUUACUGGGCGUAAAGCGUGCGCAGGCGGUUUUGUAAGUCUGACGUGAAAUCCCCGGGCUUAACCUGGGAAUUGCGUUGGAGACUGCAAGGCUAGAAUCUGGCAGAGGGGGGUAGAAUUCCACGUGUAGCAGUGAAAUGCGUAGAGAUGUGGAGGAACACCGAUGGCGAAGGCAGCCCCCUGGGUCAAGAUUGACGCUCAUGCACGAAAGCGUGGGGAGCAAACAGGAUUAGAUACCCUGGUAGUCCACGCCCUAAACGAUGUCUACUAGUUGUCGGGUCUUAAUUGACUUGGUAACGCAGCUAACGCGUGAAGUA
This 799-nucleotide ribosomal RNA is filed under the name uncultured bacterium. RNAcentral's name for it is "bacterial SSU rRNA". It matches the Rfam family "Bacterial small subunit ribosomal RNA", at positions 69 to 866 of the family's 1533-position model. The record is from RNAcentral.